CUGUCAGGACAGUGGGUUUCUGGGUGCUGCAAUGAUCAUCACUACUACUAUUUCUUCUGCCCAACAUUAUACAUGGCUCCCACUUAUUGAGCGCCUACUGUGUGCCAGGCACUAUAGUAAGUAUUCCUCCGUGUCAUCUCAAUCGCGACCCUCAGUCACCCCAUGGGGUGGGUGUUCUGUUAUCAUCUGUACUUUCCAGAUGAGCACACAGACUCUGCUGGGGGGAGGUGGUAGAAUCUGCAUUAGUGGAACUGUGCUUCACAGCCUUCCCACCCACUGGGAAGGGCAAGUGGGCCAAUCACAGUGCUCCAUUUCCCUUCCUACGGUGAUUGAUUUGGGCCUGCGCAUGUGAUACAGGUGAAGCCCAUCAGAGCCUCCCUGGGACUUUUGAAGGAGUUAAUGGGAAGAUUGACUGUCCUUCUGAAGUGUCACCUGGCAGACUGUGAACACUGAGUAUGAUUCCUGGGACUGGAGAGGGACCAUGGGAGACAAGGCCCAUUCUUAUCUUUUGGCAGUGCCAGGGAUACUGAGCAGGCUAGAGAAGCAUCCUACUGCUGAGCUACACCCCCAGCCCCAAGGCCUAGUCUCAAAGCUACACAAACAGAACCGAUGGGGGUGGGGAAAAAUAACCCAAUGACAUUAUUAGAAACCCUGGAUCCAGCCAUGCCUGAAAUUGCAAGAUAAAGGAGCCACUGAUUUUUAAAAAUAUACUUUUAAUCUUAGAUGGACACAAUACCUUUAUUUUAUUUAUUUAUUUCUAUGCAGUGCCGAGGAUCGAACCCAGUGCCUCACAUGUGGUAGGCAAGUCUCUACCACUGAGCUACAACCCAAC
Molecule: long non-coding RNA, 832 nt
Filed under: Marmota monax (woodchuck)
Lineage: Eukaryota; Metazoa; Chordata; Mammalia; Rodentia; Sciuridae
Source: RNAcentral